AUGAAUCUUACCCAAAAUGACUCGUGGAUAAACUGAUUUGAGGCUAAACGGAGAGUGGGUAGUCCAAAAAAUCGCCUCCUCGCUUGAAUCACUGCUGAUCGCCGGAAUCGCGUGGGUUUGGGAUCAAAUCCGCGCAGGUCAGGUUCGUGGUUCGUGGGAACGCUGCUUUCGCUCGUAAAUGUUCGUUUGCAAGGUCGUCGUUCAGAGGAUGUCCUCUUCUGGGAGAGCUUCGCGCCACUAUUCUUCGUGCGGGGGGAAAGCGCCGUCGGCGCUCGUGAUGCUGCUGCACUCCGCAAGUCACCGACGGAAGGGCUGCUCGCCAGAAUAGAAAGGGAGCAGGUUCGUGGGU
This 349-nucleotide unclassified non-coding RNA is filed under the name Hevea brasiliensis (rubber tree). Lineage: Eukaryota; Viridiplantae; Streptophyta; Magnoliopsida; Malpighiales; Euphorbiaceae. The record is from RNAcentral.